GGCGGUGUAGCUCAGCUGGCUAGAGCGUACGGUUCAUACCCGUGAGGCCGGGGGUUCGAUCCCCUCCGCCGCUACCA
Molecule: transfer RNA, 77 nt
Filed under: Bacillus haikouensis
Lineage: Bacteria; Bacillati; Bacillota; Bacilli; Caryophanales; Bacillaceae
Description: tRNA-Met
Rfam family: tRNA
About the family: Transfer RNA (tRNA) molecules are approximately 80 nucleotides in length. Their secondary structure includes four short double-helical elements and three loops (D, anti-codon, and T loops).
Source: RNAcentral